UAGAUUGAGGGUGAGGUUAGAGUGGCACAUGGCUCUGUACCCCAUUGGGUACCUCCAGCAGGCCGGGCACUGCAGCCCCUUGGCCUCCGGCACUCUGCGAGGGAACAUGCUGGCAUGAGUUUGCUGGUCCCGAUGGGGAAGAGUCAGGGAUCCCUGAGAGAGCCUGUCAGGAGGAGAGAAGGGACGCCGGGGUGAAAGGGAGGAAGGAGGUGGCAGAAGAGGCCUCGAGGAUGACGUGGGGCUGUAGAUGCAGGAGGCAGCUGGAGCCUGUGGCACUGGGGCAUGGCGGGCCUCAAGGAUUUCACUGCCACCCUUGCCGAGGAGGGUACCCUGAGGCUUCCUCCCAAGGAGCUGGUGGUCAGAAUUCCUCAGCAGGUGAACAGAAAGCCAGGAAAACAUCUUCCCAGGGACCUUGCCCAGCCCCAGGUGCAGCUGUUGUUCUGGAAAAUUACUGCACUGCAUUUCAGAAGCAUCUCUAAUCCCCAAAUCUGUCAUCGCCUUGCCCACCCUGGCCCAGCUUUUGUAAAAGGGCAAAGAGAAGAGCAGGUGAGAAUCAAUUCACAGAAUCGCAGCCGUUCUGCCCCCUUCAGCUUCCAGCUCGGGCUCGCCUGGGAGCUGAGCCGCACCGGCUCUCUCUUUUGUCUGAAACAAGCAGCAGGAUUGUUUUGCUCAGUGUUGUCAGAGUUGUUUUUAAACAGCCGCCCAUCGUGCUGCAGGGAGGGAGGGCGAGACACAUGUGGAUCAACAAUGAGAUGGGUCUUGGCCUCGGGACGGGAUGCCCGGGUCGGGGAGUGCAGCUUUGAUCUGGCAGGCCGGCCUGAAGAACAAAGCCGGUCUCCUGGUCCCUCCUCGGCUGUGCCCAGCUGCACUCACUCUGAAGCUGAAUCUUGGCAGUUGUGAUUCUUCUGCUGGCAAAACGGAGAUGGCAGGCCCCCUGGGUCUGGGCUGUUGAAUGCCACGCGGGCAGGGGGCCUCUCCUUCCCCCACUGGCACGGGCUGUUGGAAACCCGUCAGUUCGGACUCUGAGCUGUGCCCCCCAACAGACAACAUAAUAGGACCCAAAUCAGAUACUCGUGAGCCAGGCAGUGACUUGGGCUCGCUUUGAUUGGUGUGUGAGGCACAAAUAAACAGAAAAUGUCUAUAAACUUCUUUUAGUUGGAAUCA
Homo sapiens (human) is the source of this 1164-nucleotide long non-coding RNA. The record is from Ensembl. Lineage: Eukaryota; Metazoa; Chordata; Mammalia; Primates; Hominidae.